RNAcentral lists this ribosomal RNA (232 nucleotides) under uncultured bacterium. RNAcentral's name for it is "partial 16S ribosomal RNA". It matches the Rfam family "Bacterial small subunit ribosomal RNA", at positions 333 to 561 of the family's 1533-position model. The record is from RNAcentral.
CGUUGCCUAUGGGACGCAGCAGUGAGGAAUAUUGGUCAAUGGGCUUACGCCUGAACCAGCCAAGUCGCGUGAGGGAAGACUGCCCUAUGGGUUGUAAACCUCUUUUGUCAGGGAGCAACGCCGGCUACGUGUAGCCGGACUGAGAGUACCUGAAGAACAAGCAUCGGCUAACUCCGUGCCAGCAGCCGCGGUAAUACGGAGGAUGCGAGCUUUAUCCGGAUUUAUUGGGUUU